This is a long non-coding RNA of Neopelma chrysocephalum (saffron-crested tyrant-manakin), 434 nucleotides long. RefSeq lists it as uncharacterized. The transcript has 3 exons. Lineage: Eukaryota; Metazoa; Chordata; Aves; Passeriformes; Pipridae. The record is from RefSeq and is a predicted model, not a curated record.
GUAGACACCUAUUUCAGGUUAGCUCAAGUCUCCCACUGGAGUUUGCUGCCUCUCUCUAACGACCUAGAAGAGGAACCACCUACGAGUAACUUGUGCCUCUCUCCCCAUUGGCUGAGAGGUUCUCAUCUGGUGGAGAAGACCUUUUCCGGAGAACCCAAAGGACAGCAACACUGAAGAAAAUGGACACCGUGCCCAACACCAAAGUCAGCCCCAGGCAUAAUGACAGCAACAACAACAGCAGCAACAAUAACAUCAUUAUGUUUUAUCAGCAAAAAGAGUCCCAACUGAGCUUUUGUUCUUUCCUUCACGUUUUCAAAACAUUUUUUCCUGGGGGUGGGAGGAAAGCACAAUGUGUUCUCCCAUUUUUCUCUUACCCUUGUUAUUCCAUUCUUCCUUUCUAGUGACACCUUUCAUGAAUGCAGUUCAGAUAAUUA